Sturnus vulgaris (Common starling) is the source of this 351-nucleotide non-coding RNA. NCBI's taxonomy places the organism in Eukaryota, Metazoa, Chordata, Aves, Passeriformes, Sturnidae. The record is from RefSeq and is a predicted model, not a curated record.
UGACGGGCCUGGGAUCAGCUGUGUCUGGCUGUUGCGACAAUUCUUCCCAGAUCAUUCCCACUAUAGUCAGCUGUUGCUCUGCCUGUUCAGGAGGACUUGCAAGAGACUAAGCUUGCUACUUCUGCCAUGGCAUAGGACAACCAGGAGAAGAAAAAACACUUGGUUAAUCCUGCUUGCUUCUGCUGCUGCCUAGCAUCCCUCCAGCUCUUUUCUCAGAAGCCAAACUGGAAUGCACGGUCUGCCUAGAAGAAAAAUGGCUUUUUUCUUACAUGAGAGAGGAGCUGAUGAAGCACAAGACAAGCUCAAUAAUUUGCAUUAACUACUUGAUGGGAAGAAGAGGGAUAUUUUGAA